This 908-nucleotide ribosomal RNA is filed under the name uncultured bacterium. RNAcentral's name for it is "bacterial SSU rRNA". It matches the Rfam family "Bacterial small subunit ribosomal RNA", at positions 8 to 924 of the family's 1533-position model. The record is from RNAcentral.
AGAGUUUGAUCAUGGCUCAGGACGAACGCUGGCGGCGUGCUUCAUACAUGCAAGUCGAACGAGGUCCAUCGAGUGGCAACACUCGUGAAGACCUAGUGGCGAACGGGUGAGUAACACGUGAGGAACCUGCCCCGAUCUCUGGGAUAACAGUGGGAAACCGCUGCUAAUACCGGAUGGGCUCGGAUGACGACAUCGUCGACCGAGGAAAGCUUUUGCGGACCGGGAGGGCCUCGCGGCCUAUCAGCUUGUUGGUGGGGUAACGGCCUGCCAAGGCAUCGACGGGUAGCUGGUCUGAGAGGACGACCAGCCACACUGGGACUGAGACACGGCCCAGACUCCUACGGGAGGCAGCAGUAGGGAAUCUUGCGCAAUGGGCGAAAGCCUGACGCAGCAACGCCGCGUGGGGGAUGAAGGCCCUCGGGUUGUAAACCCCUUUCAGCAGGAACGAAUCUGACGGUACCUGCAGAAGAAGGUCCGGCCAACUACGUGCCAGCAGCCGCGGUAACACGUAGGGGCCAAGCGUUGUCCGGAUUUAUUGGGCGUAAAGAGCUCGUAGGCGGUUCGACAAGUCGGGUGUGAAAACUCCGGGCUCAACCCGGAGACGCCACCCGAUACUGUCGUGACUGGAGUCCGGUAGGGGAGUGGGGAAUUCCUGGUGUAGCGGUGAAAUGCGCAGAUAUCAGGAGGAACACCGGUGGCGAAGGCGCCACUCUGGGCCGGUACUGACGCUGAGGAGCGAAAGCGUGGGUAGCAAACAGGAUUAGAUACCCUGAUAGUCCACGCCGUAAACGUUGGGCACUAGGUGUGGGUCGUUAUCAACGCGAUCCGUGCCGUAGCUAACGCAUUAAGUGCCCCGCCUGGGGAGUACGGCCGCAGGCUAAAACUCAGAGGAAUUGACGGGGGCCCGC